Dermacentor albipictus is the source of this 184-nucleotide small nuclear RNA. RefSeq annotates it as U2 spliceosomal RNA. Lineage: Eukaryota; Metazoa; Arthropoda; Arachnida; Ixodida; Ixodidae. The record is from RefSeq and is a predicted model, not a curated record.
AUGGCCGACGCGGGUCAGUGUAUGCAGCAUGCAUUCUCAUCAGCUUAAUAUCUGAUACGGGCUGUAUUUGGUCUCAAUAUAUUAAACCUAUUUCUGCAAGUUGGCGGAGUGCUCAAAGCCUGCUUCACCUCUGCCGCGGGUCGGCCCGGUAUUGCACUAUAUCUUCGGGAUCGGCCCAAGUAUG